Molecule: long non-coding RNA, 614 nt
Organism: Gossypium arboreum
Lineage: Eukaryota; Viridiplantae; Streptophyta; Magnoliopsida; Malvales; Malvaceae
Exons: 2
Source: RefSeq, a predicted model, not a curated record
AUAUAAGUCAAAAAUUUAACAAAACAAAAAAAAACAUUUGAGCCCUUUCUUUUAAAAAAAACAUUCAAACACUCCCUCUAAUUCUCUGUCCUCAUUCAAAUCUGGCCAUUGCUCAGGUGACGGACCACCGUACCGGCCACACCGCCGGCCAGCAUGCACGGUGGCCGGAGCUCAAAGAAAUUUAAAAUUUCCGGCGGUUUUAAGGGUUAACGACACGAAUCACCGCGACGGUGAGGGAACUGAUAACGGCUCGAUACGAGGCCUGUGAUGCUUGCGGCGCUGAAAGGUGCAGAAACCCUAGGGUUCCUGACCUAGGGUUAAGCAUUUGGGCUUUUGGGGUGCAGCUUAUUGGGUCUUAGGAGUAGGCUCUUUAAAAAUGGGUCUGUAAUGUAACGGGUUGGGUCUGCCGGGUAGUGUUGGUGUUUGGGUUUGAUUUAGGCUAAAGGGUAUUGGGUGUUGGGUUAUUUUUAGGGUGUAAAUGAGUCUGAUAAGUUUGGUCUGUUUGGAUUUGUGCUUCAGGUGUAUUUGGGGUUUUGGGUAGUAACAAUGGGUCUGCUGGUUUUUUAACAUUUGUAAAGACUGUUAAAAACUUUUAUUAUUAUUAUUUUUUGAUA